CCUACGGGGGGCUGCAGUGGGGAAUAUUGGACAAUGGGCGAAAGCCUGAUCCAGCCAUGCCGCGUGUGUGAAGAAGGCCUUCGGGUUGUAAAGCACUUUCAGUGGGGAAGAAAGCCUUGGGGCUAAUACCCUCGAGGAAGGACAUCACCCACAGAAGAAGCACCGGCUAACUCCGUGCCAGCAGCCGCGGUAAUACGGAGGGUGCGAGCGUUAAUCGGAAUUACUGGGCGUAAAGCGCGCGUAGGCGGUCUGAUAAGCCGGUUGUGAAAGCCCCGGGCGCAACCUGGGAACGGCAUCCGGAACUGUCAGGCUAGAGUGCAGGAGAGGAAGGUAGAAUUCCCGGUGUAGCGGUGAAAUGCGUAGAGAUCGGGAGGAAUACCAGUGGCGAAGGCGGCCUUCUGGACUGACACUGACGCUGAGGUGCGAAAGCGUGGGUAGCAAACAGGAUUAGAUACCCGGGUAGUC
Molecule: ribosomal RNA, 465 nt
Filed under: Vreelandella stevensii
Lineage: Bacteria; Pseudomonadati; Pseudomonadota; Gammaproteobacteria; Oceanospirillales; Halomonadaceae
Description: partial 16S ribosomal RNA
Rfam family: Bacterial small subunit ribosomal RNA
Source: RNAcentral